This 2343-nucleotide long non-coding RNA is filed under the name Sus scrofa (pig). RNAcentral describes it as "lncRNA (ENSSSCG00040022039.1, ENSSSCG00180044207.1)". Lineage: Eukaryota; Metazoa; Chordata; Mammalia; Artiodactyla; Suidae. The record is from RNAcentral.
CGGUUUUGUGACGUCACAGCGUUGGUGCCACGGUUGUCUCGGGGUGAGGCAGAUUGCAAAACCCGACCCUCAAAUUCAUAUGAAAUUUCAAGGGGCCCAAAUAAUCAAAACAACAUUGAAAAAGGAAAACAAAGUUUGAAGACUCAAACACCCCAAUUUGAUCCAUGAGGACACAGGUUUGAUCCCUGGCCUUGCUCAGUGGGUUAGGGAUCUGGCGUUGCCAUGAGCUGUGUUGUAGGUCACAGACAUGGCUCAGAUCUGGCCUUGCUGUGGUGUAGGCCACUGGCUACAGCUGAUUCAACCCAUAGCCAGGGGACUUCCAUAUGCCACGGGUGUGGCAUGGGUUUGAUCCCUAGCUCUGGUAUCAAAAUGCUGCAGGUAUGGCAAAAAACCCCCAAACAGCUAAGUAAGUGAAGAGACAUAUUGUGCUUAUGGAUUGGUAAAAAUUUCAAUUUUUUCCCAAAUGAUAUAAAAGUAUGUAAUGCAAUUCUAUCAAAAUCUAAGCAGGACUUUUGAAAAAACAGGCUGACUCAAAGUUAUAUGUAAACAAAGGAAUUAGGAUAAAGCAAUUUUGAGAAAGAAGGAUAAAGGGAGAAGAGUCACCAUGUAGCUACCGUAAUGAAGACAGUGAGGUGUUAGUAGAGGGAGAGAUACAUGAGUCAGUGGAACAGAACAGAGUUCAGAAAUAGACUCACAUGAGUAGGCCACUUGGUCUUUUACAAAAGUACAAAACAACUAAAUAGAGAAAUGAUAAAUUUAACAAAUAGUGUUGAAAAAAUUAGACAUCAUAGGUUUAAAAAAAAAGAAAAAUGAACCUUGACUUAAAUCUUAGACUAGGUAAUAGCCAUAUUAAACUAUAAAAUGUGCAUCCAGGAGUUCCCGUCGUGGCUCAAUGGUUAACGAAUCUGACUAGGAACCCUGAGUUUGUGCGUUCGAUCCCUGGCCUUGCUCAGUGGGUUAAGGAUCUGGCAUUGCCGUGAGCUGUGGUGUAGGUUGCAGACGCAGCUCGGAUCCCACGUUGCUGUAGCUCUGGUGUAGGCCAGCGGCUUCAGGUCUGAUUCGACCCCUAGCCUGGGAACAUCCAUAUACCAUGGGAGCGGCCCAAGAAAUGGCAAAAAGACAAAAAACAAAACAAAACAAAACAAACAACAACAAAAAAACCCACUUAAAAUGUGCAUCCAGAAACUUACUUUUUUUUCUUUUUUGGCUGCCCUGCAGCAUAUGGAGUUCCUGGGCCAAGGAUCAGAUUCAAGCCAUAGUUGUAGUAAUGCAGAAUUCUUAAUCCACUGUAUUGGGCUGGGGAUUGAACCCGUGUCCCAGCGCUCCAAGAUGCCCUGGCACCACAGCAGGAACUCCAAUAUAUUUAUAAUGCAAAUAUUUGACAAAUGAUUUGUAACCGGAAUAUAUUAUAACACUAAAAAUAAGAAAAAUUUAAUUACCCAUUAGGGCUACAUCCAGUGGCAGUAAGGUAAGUUUGUCUCUGCUUCACCAACAGGGUAGUGUCAAGUUGGAUGAACUUCCACGCUGGCUCAAAAGCAAUGAGGUAGAAUUAGGUGGUUCCCAGGCAGUGUUGUUCACCAAUCAGCUUUGUACCUUCCUCCAUGUUAUCAGGACCCAGUGCUGAACUUCCAACGCUACUCAACAAACUGUAGCAACUGGGUGGUGCUAGCUGAUGCUCUGUUUUCCCUCCUUCAUCCUCCCCACCUGUUCUAACUAGGCUGAAUAGAGAGCUUAACUUUCAUGCCCAUCCAGUGAAAAUGAGGUGGGUGUCAGUGCUCCACUUUUGCUUGAGUGGAAUCUGUGGAGCUCAUUAGGGUGCAGAAUAUCCACUCCAACCUGGAUUUCCUAGCUACACCUACAAAGGGUGACUGCCUACAAAAUAGAAGGAUAAAGAGGACCUAUUCUGUUGAUACCCAAAAUGUCCAGAAUAGAACUAAAAAUCCUUCAUCAUAUGAAACAAGAAAAUCUCAAGCUGAAUGGAAAAACAAGACAUACCAACACCAUGAUGACUAAUUAUCUGACAAAUUCAAAACAGUAAUCUUAGAAAUUCUUCAGUGAUGGAGUUCCCAUCAUGGCUCAGUAGUUAACGAAUCCAACUAGGAACCAUGAGGUUGUGGGUUCAAUCCCUGGCCUCACUCAGUGGGUUAAGGAUCUGGCAUUGCCGUGAGAUGUGGUGUAGGUCACACAUUGCUGUGGCUCUGGCGUAGGCCAGCAGCUACAGCUCAGAUUACACCCCUAGCCUGGAAACCUCCAUAUGUCGUGGGUGCAGCCCUAGAAAAAGACAAAAAAAAAAAAUCUUCAAUGAAUAAAUUAUGUACCCACUUGAAACAAAUGAAAAAAAAA